GUGUCAGCCGCCGCGGUAAUACGAAGGGUGCAAGCGUUAAUCGGAAUUACUGGGCGUAAAGCGCGCGUAGGUGGUUCAGUAAGUUGGAUGUGAAAUCCCCGGGCUCAACCUGGGAACUGCAUCUAAAACUGCUGAACUAGAGUACGGUAGAGGGUGGUGGAAUUUCCUGUGUAGCGGUGAAAUGCGUAGAUAUAGGAAGGAACACCAGUGGCGAAGGCGACCACCUGGCCUGAAACUGAGCCUGAGGUCCGAAAGCGUGGGGGGGAAACAGGAUUAGAUACCCUGGUAGUCAACCCCGUAA
Molecule: ribosomal RNA, 301 nt
Filed under: uncultured bacterium
Lineage: Bacteria
Description: bacterial SSU rRNA
Rfam family: Bacterial small subunit ribosomal RNA
Source: RNAcentral